Molecule: ribosomal RNA, 253 nt
Filed under: uncultured bacterium
Lineage: Bacteria
Description: partial 16S ribosomal RNA
Rfam family: Bacterial small subunit ribosomal RNA
Source: RNAcentral
GACGAACCGUGCGAACGUUGUUCGGAAUCACUGGGCUUACAGGGCGCGUAGGCGGCCCGCCGCGUCCGGGGUGAAAUCCUCCCGCUCAACGGGAGGACGGCCUCGGAUACGAGCGGGCUGGAGGGGGGUAGGGGCACGCGGAACUGUGGGUGGAGCGGUGAAAUGCGUUGAGAUCCACAGGAACUCCGGUGGCGAAGGCGGCGUGCUGGACCCCACCUGACGCUGAGGCGCGAAAGCCAGGGGAGCGAACGGG